UGGGCAACCUGCCCCUCUCUCUGGGAUAACCCCGGGAAACCGAAGCUAAUACCGGAUACUCCGGCUGGAUCGCAUGGUCCGGCCGGGAAAGGUCCGCCGGAGAGGGAUGGGCCCGCGGCCUAUCAGCUUGUUGGUGAGGUAACGGCUCACCAAGGCCACGACGGGUAGCUGGUCUGAGAGGACGACCAGCCACACUGGAACUGAGAUAUGGUCCAGACUCCUACGGGAGGCA
RNAcentral lists this ribosomal RNA (232 nucleotides) under uncultured bacterium. RNAcentral's name for it is "partial 16S ribosomal RNA". It matches the Rfam family "Bacterial small subunit ribosomal RNA", at positions 118 to 350 of the family's 1533-position model. The record is from RNAcentral.